This 490-nucleotide ribosomal RNA is filed under the name uncultured bacterium. RNAcentral describes it as "partial 16S ribosomal RNA". It matches the Rfam family "Bacterial small subunit ribosomal RNA", at positions 30 to 507 of the family's 1533-position model. The record is from RNAcentral.
AUUGAACGCUGGCGGCAGGCCUAACACAUGCAAGUCGAACGGUAACAGGAAGAAGCUUGCUUCUUUGCUGACGAGUGGCGGACGGGUGAGUAAUGUCUGGGAAACUGCCUGAUGGAGGGGGAUAACUACUGGAAACGGUAGCUAAUACCGCAUAACGUCGCAAGACCAAAGAGGGGGACCUUCGGGCCUCUUGCCAUCGGAUGUGCCCAGAUGGGAUUAGCUAGUAGGUGGGGUAACGGCUCACCUAGGCGACGAUCCCUAGCUGGUCUGAGAGGAUGACCAGCCACACUGGAACUGAGACACGGUCCAGACUCCUACGGGAAGCAGCAGUGGGGAAUAUUGCACAAUGGGCGCAAGCCUGAUGCAGCCAUGCCGCGUGUAUGAAGAAGGCCUUCGGGUUGUAAAGUACUUUCAGCGGGGAGGAAGGGAGUAAAGUUAAUACCUUUUCUCAUUGGCGUUACCCGCAGAAGGAGCACCGGCUAACUCCGUG